GGAUGAAUUGGGAGGUCUGUCCUGCCCACUGAGUGUAUUUAAAGGGCCGCGGUAUUAUGACCGUGCGAAGGUAGCAUAGUCAAUAGUCUCUUAAUUGGAGGCUGGAAUGAACGGUUGGACGGGAAGAGAACUGUCUCACUCAUUUUAGGUGAAUUUGACUUUUAUGUGAAAAGGCAUAGAUAAUUUGGGGGGACGAUAAGACCCUAUAAAACUUGAUAAUUUGAUUGGGUAUGUGAUUUGUGUUUAAUACAUGUUUAGGUGAAGUUAUUUUGCUGGGGAGGCAGGGAUAAAAUAAAUUAACUGUUUUAUAAUGUUAAUAAUGAUCAUUAGAUAGUGACCCUUAAGUUAGGUUUAAAAGUUAAAGUUACUUUAGGGAUAACAGCGUANUUUUUCUUGAGAGUCCAUAUCGACAGGAAUAGUUGCGACCUCGAUGUUGAAUUAGAACUUCCUGCNGGAGCANAAAUUUGCGGGG
Molecule: ribosomal RNA, 472 nt
Filed under: Leptalpheus pacificus
Lineage: Eukaryota; Metazoa; Arthropoda; Malacostraca; Decapoda; Alpheidae
Description: partial large subunit ribosomal RNA
Rfam family: Bacterial large subunit ribosomal RNA
Source: RNAcentral